Molecule: ribosomal RNA, 517 nt
Filed under: uncultured Metschnikowiaceae
Lineage: Eukaryota; Fungi; Ascomycota; Saccharomycetes
Description: eukaryotic LSU rRNA
Rfam family: Eukaryotic large subunit ribosomal RNA
Source: RNAcentral
ACUACCCGCUGAACUUAAGCAUAUCAAUAAGCGGAGGAAAAGAAACCAACAGGGAUUGCCUCAGUAACGGCGAGUGAAGCGGCAAAAGCUCAAAUUUGAAAUCCCCCGGGAAUUGUAAUUUGAAGAGAUUUGGGUCCGGCCGGCAGGGGUUAAGUCCACUGGAAAGUGGCGCCACAGAGGGUGACAGCCCCGUGAACCCCUUCAACGCCUUCAUCCCAGAUCUCCAAGAGUCGAGUUGUUUGGGAAUGCAGCUCUAAGUGGGUGGUAAAUUCCAUCUAAAGCUAAAUACCGGCGAGAGACCGAUAGCGAACAAGUACAGUGAUGGAAAGAUGAAAAGCACUUUGAAAAGAGAGUGAAAAAGUACGUGAAAUUGUUGAAAGGGAAGGGCUUGCAAGCAGACACUUAACUGGGCCAGCAUCGGGGCGGUGGGAAACAAAACCACCGGGGAAUGUACCUUUCGAGGAUUAUAACCCCGGUCUCAAUUUCCUCACCACCCCGAGGCCUGCAAUCUAAGGAU